GAAAUGCGAUAAGUAAUGUGAAUUGCAGAAUUCAGUGAAUCAUCGAAUCUUUGAACGCACAUUGCGCCCGCCAGUAUUCUGGCGGGCAUGCCUGUUCGAGCGUCAUUACAACCCUCAGGCCCCCGGGCCUGGCGUUGGGGAUCGGCGGAAGCCCCCUGCGGGCACAACGCCGUCCCCCAAAUACAGUGGCGGUCCCGCCGCAGCUUCCAUUGCGUAGUAGUUAACACCUCGCAACUGGAGAGCGGCGCGGCCACGCCGUAAAACACCCAACUUCUGAAUGUUGACCUCGAAUCAGGUAGGAAUACCCGCUGAACUUAAGC
This 320-nucleotide unclassified non-coding RNA is filed under the name plant metagenome. RNAcentral's name for it is "partial contains 5.8S ribosomal RNA, internal transcribed spacer 2, and large subunit ribosomal RNA". The stretch from base 1 to 105 matches the Rfam family "5.8S ribosomal RNA", at positions 50 to 154 of the family's 154-position model. The record is from RNAcentral.